UAAACUUCAGCAUUGUGAUUUGAUUACCAUGAUACUGUCGCCUUGGUAUUUAACGAGGAAAAAGUUUAUCAAAAUGAUGCAAAUAAUAAAAGCUCUCGUGGUGUCAGUCGGUGUGGUAGCUGCUUAUCAUUAUUAUGUAAAUAAACCAUAAGAUUAUUGAUCUGUUGUUGAAAAUUCGAAAUUAUACAUCAAAAAUGGAUAGAAUAGAGCAAUUGAAGUUGAUACUACUAGUGUUAUCGAUGGGGUCCAUCGUGCAGUACACAUACGGUAUUUACAAACCUCCAACUACCCUAUUGAUGAAAUACGAAGAGGAGGUAGGUGUACAGCCUACACCAAUAAGCGAUGAUAGCGACGCGGCAAUACAAAACUACGAAAACUAACAACUCAAAACUAUUUGAAGUAAAUGCUUGAUUCUA
Long non-coding RNA from Papilio polytes (common Mormon), 416 nucleotides. RefSeq lists it as uncharacterized. NCBI's taxonomy places the organism in Eukaryota, Metazoa, Arthropoda, Insecta, Lepidoptera, Papilionidae. The record is from RefSeq and is a predicted model, not a curated record. The transcript has 2 exons.